Molecule: long non-coding RNA, 510 nt
Organism: Gasterosteus aculeatus aculeatus (three-spined stickleback)
Lineage: Eukaryota; Metazoa; Chordata; Actinopteri; Perciformes; Gasterosteidae
Source: Ensembl
AUCAAUAUUCUCAUCUGGCAAAAAAAGAGCAAUCAAUACCAGGGGGGCGAGUAUGUUUCGGAGAUCCCACCUUUACCUCCUCGGACACAGUUUCUCCUCACAGGCAAGAAACAAAGCACGAUACACACGAGUCAUUUUCACCGAUCCUACACAAGAAGUACUUCUCACUAAACCGGAGGGAGUCUGAAGUGUGUUACACUGUAAACACACAGUAAAACCAGAGGUUUUCUCCACAAGGACCAAAAUCAACAGUGGAGGAAAAAGUCACUUGAGGUUACUUUGAUUGAGAUGUUGAGGACUUCUUCCCUCGCUGGUGUCUGACCAUAAGGCCAAAGGGAUGUGUGAAAUAAGGAAAGCAGUUUAAGAUAAAGGCCCAAAGUUAUGAGAACCUGGACGCCGCAGAUGAUCAGACUGAUCGGACUGAUCAGACUGAUCAGAUCGUCCACGAGCAGGACGUCCCAGACUACGAGCAGGUUGACCAGGACGUCCCGGACUACGAGCAGGACGUCC